UGCAAGUCGAGCGGACAGAAGAGGACUUGCUCCUUUGACGUUAGGGCGGACGGGUGAGUAACACGUGGGCAUGCUACCCUAUGUUUGGGAUAACUCCGGGAAACCGGGGCUAAUACCGACUAAUCUCUUUUGCUUCCUGGGGACCGACUGAAAGACGGUUUCGGGUGUCGCUAUAGGAUGGGCCCGCGGCGGAUUAGCUAGUUGGCGACGUAACGGCUCACCAAGGCGACGAUGCAUAGCCGACCUGACAGGGUGAUCGGUCACACUGGGACUGAAACCCGGCCCAAACUCCUACGGGAGGAUUUUGUACGGAAUCUUCCACAAUGGGCCAAAGCCUGAUGGAGCGACGCCACGGGAGUGAAGAAGGUUUUCGGAUCUGACAACUCUGAUGUCCUGGAAUAACAAGUACACUAGUAACUGGCUGUACCUUGAAGGAACCUUAUUAUAAAUCCACGGCUAACUACGUGCCAGCACCCGCGGUAAUACGUAGGUGGCAAGUGUUGGCCGGAAUUAUUGGGCGUAAAGCGCGCGCAGGAGGUCCUUUAAGUCUGAUGUGACAGCCCACGGCUCAACCGUGGAGGUGCAUUGGAAACUGGUGGACUUGAGUGCAGAAGAUGAACGUGGAAUUCCAAGUGUGCGCGGAGAUAUGCGUAGAGA
Molecule: ribosomal RNA, 657 nt
Filed under: Lysinibacillus fusiformis
Lineage: Bacteria; Bacillati; Bacillota; Bacilli; Caryophanales; Bacillaceae
Description: bacterial SSU rRNA
Rfam family: Bacterial small subunit ribosomal RNA
Source: RNAcentral